RNAcentral lists this ribosomal RNA (856 nucleotides) under uncultured Neocallimastigales. RNAcentral describes it as "partial large subunit ribosomal RNA". It matches the Rfam family "Eukaryotic large subunit ribosomal RNA", at positions 24 to 639 of the family's 3401-position model. Lineage: Eukaryota; Fungi; Neocallimastigomycota; Neocallimastigomycetes; Neocallimastigales. The record is from RNAcentral.
GCGCAUCUGUGCAUGCAGCAUAUCAAUAAGCGGAGGAAAAGAAACUAACAAGGAUUCCCUUAGUAACGGCGAGUGAAGCGGGAAGAGCUCAAAUUUGAAAUCUUCAAGGUUUUACCUUGACGAAUUGUAGUUUAAAGAAGUGUUUUCUGUUGAAGUUUUGGUAAAAGUUCUUUGGAAUAGGACAUCAUAGAGGGUGAGAAUCCCGUAUUUGACCAUUAUUUUCAGCUGUGUGAUACACUUUCAAAGAGUCGGAUUGUUUGGGAAUGCAGUCCAAAAUGGGUGGUAAAUUUCAUCUAAAGCUAAAUAUUGGCGAGAGACCGAUAGCGAACAAGUACCGUGAGGGAAAGAUGAAAAGAACUUUGAAAAGAGAGUUAAACAGUACGUGAAAUUGUCAAAAGGGAAGCGUUUGACACCAGUGUUGUUUUCUCGAAAAUCAAUUAAAAAGAGUUUGAUUUUGUUGUGUAUUGACCUUAACAGCUUGCAUUUCAAUUUUCUUGCUUUUUUUAAUGCACUUUUCGUUUAACAAGUCAACAUCAGUUUCUUUUGUUGUAAAAAGGUCAUUGGAAGGUGGCUUUCUUUUCGGAGAAAGUGUUUAUAGCCUUUGACUCCUGCAAUCGGAGAGACUGAGGUCUGCAGCGUAGAUCCUUCGGGGUUAGAUACAUUUGUGCUAAGUUAUAGCUUUUUAUAGACAACUUGUUGACUAUGAUUAGUCUUGUAGCUUACUCGCUUAUGCUAUUUUACCUACGCUUAGGAUGUUGACGCGCGUGUGUGCGUGAGUCUAUACAUGACUCUGCGCAUAUCAAUAAGCGGAGGAAAAGGUACCUACGCUUAGGAUGUUGACGCGCGUGUGUGCGUG